Molecule: ribosomal RNA, 264 nt
Filed under: uncultured bacterium
Lineage: Bacteria
Description: partial 16S ribosomal RNA
Rfam family: Bacterial small subunit ribosomal RNA
Source: RNAcentral
GAUCAUGGCUCAGGACGAACGCUGGCGGCGUGCCUAACACAUGCGAGUCGAACGGAGAUGUUUAUUUCGGUAGAUAUCUUAGUGGCGCACGGGUGAGUAACGCGUGAAUAACCUGACCCGAAGAGGGGGAUAACACCUGGAAACAAGUGCUAAUACCGCAUAAGACCACGGACCGGCAUCGGUCAGAGGUCAAAAGGGAGGAAUCCGCUUUGGGAGGGGUUCGCGUCCCAUUUAGGUAGUUGGUGAGGUAACGGCCCCACCAAG